Molecule: ribosomal RNA, 498 nt
Filed under: uncultured bacterium
Lineage: Bacteria
Description: partial 16S ribosomal RNA
Rfam family: Bacterial small subunit ribosomal RNA
Source: RNAcentral
ACUCAAAGGAAUAGACGGGGGCCCGCACAAGCGGUGGAGCAUGUGGUUCAAUUCGAUGCUACGCGAAAAACCUUACCUAGGUUUGACAUCCCACGCUACUCGGUGAAAGCCGGGGUUCCCUUCGGGGACGUGGAGACAGGUGCUGCAUGGCUGUCGUCAGCUCGUGUUGUGAGAUGUUGGGUUAAGUCCCGCAACGAGCGCAACCCUCGGUAUUAGUUGCCAGCAUUAAGUUGGGCACUCUAAUACGACCGCUGGCCUAUAAGGCAGAGGAAGGUGGGGAUGACGUCAAGUCCUCAUGGCCUUUAUAUCUAGGGCAACACACGUGCUACAAUGGGAAGUACAAAUCGCAGCUAGCUUGCAAAAGUACGCUAAUCGCAAAAAACUUCUCUCAGUUCGGAUUGGAGUCUGCAACUCGACUCCAUGAAGCUGGAAUCGCUAGUAAUCGGGGAUCAGCACGCCCCGGUGAAUACGUUCCCGGGCCUUGCACACACCGCCCGU